GCUGGGUGUGGUGGCGGGCACCUGUAAUCCCAGCUACUUGGGAGGCUGAGGUGGGAGAAUCACUUGAACCCGGGAGGCAGAGGUUGCAGUGAGCAGAGAUCGUGCCACUGCACUCUAGCCUGGGUGACAGAGUGAGACUUCACCUCAA
Homo sapiens (human) is the source of this 148-nucleotide non-coding RNA. It matches the Rfam family "Metazoan signal recognition particle RNA". Rfam says of the family: The signal recognition particle (SRP) is a universally conserved ribonucleoprotein. It is involved in the co-translational targeting of proteins to membranes. The eukaryotic SRP consists of a 300-nucleotide 7S RNA and six proteins: SRPs 72, 68, 54, 19, 14, and 9. NCBI's taxonomy places the organism in Eukaryota, Metazoa, Chordata, Mammalia, Primates, Hominidae. The record is from Rfam.